GAACUGCGAUAAGUAAUGUGAAUUGCAGAAUUCAGUGAAUCAUCGAGUCUUUGAACGCACAUUGCGCCCCCUGGCAUUCCGGGGGGCAUGCCUGUCCGAGCGUCAUUGCUGCCCUUCAAGCCCGGCUUGUGUGUUGGGUCGUCGUCCCCCCCGGGGGACGGGCCCGAAAGGCAGCGGCGGCACCGUGUCCGGUCCACGAGCGUAUGGGGCUUUGUCACCCGCUCGAUUAGGGCCGGCCGGGCGCCAGCCGGCGUCUCCAACCUUAUUUUUCUCAGGUUGACCUCGGAUCAGGUAGGGAUACCCGCUGAACUUAAGC
RNAcentral lists this unclassified non-coding RNA (316 nucleotides) under plant metagenome. RNAcentral's name for it is "partial contains 5.8S ribosomal RNA, internal transcribed spacer 2, and large subunit ribosomal RNA". The stretch from base 1 to 105 matches the Rfam family "5.8S ribosomal RNA", at positions 50 to 154 of the family's 154-position model. The record is from RNAcentral.